AGCGAACGCUGGCGGCAGGCCUAACACAUGCCAGUCGAACGGAUCCUUCGGGAUUAGUGGCGGACGGGUGAGUAACACGUGGGAACGUGCCCUUUGGUUCGGAACAACUCAGGGAAACUUGAGCUAAUACCGGAUGUGCCCUUCGGGGGAAAGAUUUAUCGCCAUUGGAGCGGCCCGCGUCUGAUUAGCUAGUUGGUGAGGUAACGGCCCACCAAGGCGACGAUCAGUAGCUGGUCUGAGAGGAUGAUCAGCCACACUGGGACUGAGACACGGCCCAGACUCCUACGGGAGGCAGCAGUGGGGAAUCUUGCGCAAUGGGCGAAAGCCUGACGCAGCCAUGCCGCGUGAAUGAUGAAGGUCUUAGGAUUGUAAAAUUCUUUCAGCGGGGACGAUAAUGACGGUACCCGCAGAAGAAGCUCCGGCUAACUGCGUG
RNAcentral lists this ribosomal RNA (433 nucleotides) under uncultured bacterium. RNAcentral's name for it is "partial 16S ribosomal RNA". It matches the Rfam family "Bacterial small subunit ribosomal RNA", at positions 29 to 507 of the family's 1533-position model. The record is from RNAcentral.